AUUGAACGCUGGCGGAAUGCUUUACACAUGCAAGUCGAGCGGCAGCGCGGCCUUCGGGCUGGCGGCGAGCGGCGAACGGGUGAGUAAUGCAUCGGAACAUGCCCAGUCGUGGGGGAUAACACUUCGAAAGAAGUGCUAAUACCGCAUACGCCCUGAGGGGGAAAGCGGGGGAUCGCAAGACCUCGCGCGAUUGGAGUGGCCGAUGUCAGAUUAGCUAGUUGGUGGGGUAAAGGCCUACCAAGGCGACGAUCUGUAGCUGGUCUGAGAGGAUGAUCAGCCACACUGGGACUGAGACACGGCCCAGACUCCUACGGGAGGCAGCAGUGGGGAAUUUUGGACAAUGGGGGCAACCCUGAUCCAGCCAUGCCGCGUGAGUGAAGAAGGCCUUCGGGUUGUAAAGCUCUUUCGGCAGGAACGAAACGGUGGGCUCUAACAUAGUCCGCUAAUGACGGUACCUGAAGAAGAAGCACCGGCUAACUACGUG
RNAcentral lists this ribosomal RNA (484 nucleotides) under uncultured bacterium. Its description in RNAcentral is "partial 16S ribosomal RNA". It matches the Rfam family "Bacterial small subunit ribosomal RNA", at positions 29 to 507 of the family's 1533-position model. The record is from RNAcentral.